This 382-nucleotide unclassified non-coding RNA is filed under the name uncultured bacterium. RNAcentral describes it as "contains 16S-23S intergenic spacer region". The record is from RNAcentral.
UCCGAGUUGACCCCGGCAGUCUCCUGCGAGUCCCCGCCAUUACGCGCUGGCAACACAGGACAAGGGUUGCGCUCGUUGCGGGACUUAACCCAACAUCUCACGACACGAGCUGACGACAGCCAUGCACCACCUGUAUACGCUGGUAUUGCUACCUUGUCAGACUUUCAUCCUUCUACUACGUACAUGUCAAGGCCAGGUAAGGUUCUUCGCGUUGCAUCGAAUUGAGCCACAUACUCCACCGCUUGUGCAGGCCCCCGUCAAUUUCUUUGAGUUUUAAUCUUGCGACCGUACUUCCCAGGCGGGGUACUUACUGCGUUAGCGACGGCACCGAAGGGGUCGCUCCCCCCGACGCCUAGUACCCAUCGUUUACGGCGUGGACUAC